Molecule: long non-coding RNA, 1709 nt
Organism: Lytechinus variegatus (green sea urchin)
Lineage: Eukaryota; Metazoa; Echinodermata; Echinoidea; Temnopleuroida; Toxopneustidae
Exons: 4
Source: RefSeq, a predicted model, not a curated record
UUCUUACGACCAACAUGACCAAGAAUCAAAUGAGUGUGGUCAAAGAAAUCACAACGAAGACAAGUAUACGGGUGGUUCUGAAACUGGAUAAAAGAUGUGAUUUUGACACUCUUUUACCAUUGAUAUCAGCGGAUGAGAAGAUCACUGCAGAUCAUUUUCUUUACCUGACAACACCUGACUUUCGAGAGAAAAAAAUAUGGCGUUAAAACUCGCAAUUGUAGGUGUUCUUCUGGUUGCCCUCGCGAUUGCAACGAAUGUUUCCAGCGAAGAUACACAAAUUAGUGAGGAAGUCAAUGCUAAUGAGUUAAAGAAGUGCGUGCGGGAUACGAAAGACGAAUAUUAUUGCAGACGGUUUUUACAACUCUAUCAACGCUGGGACUCGCAAAGUGAGUAGCAGAAAAGCAGGGUGAAAAUCUACUACCCACUCUUGUGUGCAUCGAAAUCUCAGCUACACUCCUUUCAACGUAUUCAGUUUUGAUUAUUCACUGAUUUAAAGACGUAUAAAUUAUAUCAAUAAAUUGCCGUAUAUGAUCUUUGUGAUAUAAAGUAUUGAUGUACCCACGUCGGAUGACCAUGUUCUUAAUCAUGUAAUUCUGAAUCAUUCCAUUAUUCAUCUGUGGACCUUGUUUGUAUUUCAGUAGUCGGGGAGGGAAGGCCGGGGGGUCUUAUGCUUUCUUUUCGAGAAAAAAAAAGACAUAGACAAGUCCUACCCCACUCCAAACAAGAAACUCAUUUGAUUUCAACCAUUGGCCGCAAAAAGCAAGAAAACAAAUUAAUAUGAGAUUGUAAAGUGUAAAUAGUGUAAAUUCUAAACGAGUAAACAGAUUAUCUCAUAUUACUGAGUGCUCCUAAAAUGAUAUCUACCAUUUUUAACAAUUCUUCAUCUUGCAUUGUCUGACUCCCACUAAGCAUGCUAAGCCUAGAAUUAACCUGACAGAUAAAUGCAGAGCUCAUAAUCGUUUUUCGCAACUUCAUUCUCUUUCCCAUCGUUUUGUAUAAGACUCUCCCAUUCUAGUACGCCUUUUCCUCCUGAUUAGCUUAUAUUCUUUUAAUAAAUAGUUAAAGUUACAAUUAUACAGCGCUUAUUACAUUAUGUUUCUGAGCGCUUUACAUUGUACUAAUUUUUACCCUUGGAUUCUUAUUUGGCUAUGUGUGUGAAAAAUGCAGAGCAUCUAUCGUAACCGAUCUCGAUUAUAAUUAAUAAAUGGUGCAUACAAAACAUCUCCUUUUUAUUCUUUUUUUCAUCAAUUUAUGAUAUGAAAACUCCGCGAAAGUAUGAAGAAAAUCAGUUUAAAAAAUCUCCUGGCGAGCGGAAUCUUAAUACCUACGAGACUUUUUUUUUAAUUUUUAGUUUUCUAGAAGAGAAGAUAUUAAGAGAGAGAGAGAGAGUGUGUGGGCGUGUUUGGGGGAUGUGAGUGUUUGAGGGGUUGCAGGGGCAGCAUCAAGAAUGGGGAGGGGAUACAAGUAAGGCAUUUGCCCCCAAGUCAGGAUCGUUGCCCCACACUUGCAGCCCCCCCCCCCAAUUUUGAAAACUGUUUUAAAAAAUAUAUCUAAACAAGCUGUAAAGUAUUCCAAACCAGCAGUUUUCGAUCUUUAUAUUUUUUAAAUUUCCCAUCCAGUCACUGGAAGCUCCCAGCAAUAUUUAGUCAGCAACAUGAAUCUCUUAAUUUGGAUUAAUAAAUGAUCUGUUGAAUAGGAUAACAUGGGGC